GACGAACGCUGGCGGCGUGCUUAACACAUGCAAGUCGAACGGAAAGGCCCUGCUUUUGUGGGGUGCUCGAGUGGCGAACGGGUGAGUAACACGUGAGUAACCUGCCCUUGACUUUGGGAUAACUUCAGGAAACUGGGGCUAAUACCGGAUAGGAGCUCCUGCUGCUUGGUGGGGGUUGGAAAGUUUCGGCGGUUGGGGAUGGACCCGCGUCGGAUCAGCUUGUUGGUGGGGUAGUGGCCUACCAAGGAGUUGACGCAUAGCCGGUCUGAGAGGAUGAUCAGGCACACUGGGACUGAGUCACGGCCCAGACUCCUACGGGAGGCAGCAGUGGGGAAUAUUGGACAAUGGGCGAAAGCCUGAUCCAGCAAUGCCGCGUGGGUGAUGAAGGCCUUAGGGUUGUAAAGCUCUUUUACCCGGGAUGAUAAUGACAGUACCGGGAGAAGAAGCUCCGGCUAACUCCGUG
This 463-nucleotide ribosomal RNA is filed under the name uncultured bacterium. RNAcentral's name for it is "partial 16S ribosomal RNA". It matches the Rfam family "Bacterial small subunit ribosomal RNA", at positions 28 to 507 of the family's 1533-position model. The record is from RNAcentral.